RNAcentral lists this ribosomal RNA (257 nucleotides) under uncultured bacterium. RNAcentral's name for it is "partial 16S ribosomal RNA". It matches the Rfam family "Bacterial small subunit ribosomal RNA", at positions 524 to 776 of the family's 1533-position model. The record is from RNAcentral.
UACGUAGGGUGCGAGCGUUUAAUCGGAAUUACUGGGCGUAAAGCGUGCGCAGGCGGUUUUGUAAGACUGUCGUGAAAAUCCCCCGGGCUUAACCUGGGAAUGGCGAUGGUGACUGCAAGGCUAGAGUUUGGCAGAGGUGAGUGGAAUUCCCAGUGUAGCGGUGAAAUGCGUAGAUAUUGGGAGGAACACCAGUGGCGAAGGCGGCUCACUGGACCGGAACUGACGCUGAGGCGCGAAAGCGUGGGGGAGCAAACAGG